UGUGGUGGUGUUCGUUCGUCAGGCAACUUAUCAUAUUUGUUUUAUUUGCUGUUAUUACACUUUAUACAUUGACAGUCAUGUCGUGCUGUGCUGUUGGUUGUACUAACGGGCCAUCCCAGAGAAGCUCUGUGCAGUUUUUUUCGUUUUCCUUUAGGUGUGCAGCAUGCAGACAGACUGAGACGAUGGCUGGUGAACAUAAGACGACAAGACUGGGAGCCCAGCAAGUCAUCUCAUCUCUGUAGUCUUCAUUUUGAAGACCAUGAAUUCACCAUUGAUACCUAUGGGAAUCGUCUGACUUGCACUGCAGUACCAACUGUGUUCUCCCUUCCUGACCACCUGGUGAAGAGACCUGCUAGUAGAAAGGCAAGUGGUUAUUUUCUUAUCCUUUCUUUGUCAAGUGCUGCAAAUGAGAAGGAAUGUGAAAUGGUGGCUGCUAAUACAUCAGAUCAAAAUGUGGCUUGUCAGUAGUGAGCAGUUACAUUUUUGUGUCACCCAAGACAUUAAAACGAAAGAAUGAUGUCAUGGUUGAGAUUGUGGAGAAAUAUUAAAAGAGGAUGAGAAAGUAAGACGUGUAAAGUAAGUUUCAUGGCAUAACACAAACUUAGAACUUUUUUUUAUGUUGUCUGUAAUGCUAUACAACUGUAAUACCUCCUGGAAGUUUUGAUUUUAUGU
Molecule: long non-coding RNA, 672 nt
Organism: Sardina pilchardus (European sardine)
Lineage: Eukaryota; Metazoa; Chordata; Actinopteri; Clupeiformes; Clupeidae
Exons: 3
Source: RefSeq, a predicted model, not a curated record